CUACGGGUUGCAGCAGUCGGGGAAAUUUUGCAAUGCGCGAAAGCGUGACAAAGUAAGUCAAAGUGUUUUUCUAAUAAUUGAAAGACUUUUAUGAAAUGUAAAAAGUUUCAUGAAUAAGGACCGGGAAAGACUGGUGCCAGCCGCCGCGGUAAUACCAGCGGUCCAAGUCGCAGCCACAUUUAUUUGGUCUAAAACAUCCGUAGCUUGUUUUGUAAGUCUUUUGUGAAAUCCUGUAUCUUAAGUACAGGGCGGGCAAGAGAUACUGCAAGGCUAGAGACUGGAAGACGCAAGAAGUAUGAUUGAGGUAGUGGUAAAAUACGUUGAUCUUAAUCAGACUAACGAUAGCGAAGGCAUCUUGCGAGUACAGUUCUGACAGUGAGGGAUGAAGGCUAGGGUCGCAAAACGGAUUAGAUACCCCUGUAGUC
Molecule: ribosomal RNA, 425 nt
Filed under: uncultured archaeon
Lineage: Archaea
Description: partial 16S ribosomal RNA
Rfam family: Archaeal small subunit ribosomal RNA
Source: RNAcentral